Long non-coding RNA from Schistocerca cancellata (South American locust), 1901 nucleotides. RefSeq lists it as uncharacterized. The record is from RefSeq and is a predicted model, not a curated record. The transcript has 3 exons. Lineage: Eukaryota; Metazoa; Arthropoda; Insecta; Orthoptera; Acrididae.
GUUUCUGCAGAUGGUCUCAACAAAAAAUAUAGUUCUUAAAGAAGAAGCCAGACAACUUAUAUGCAGUUAUUUUGUGGCCUGUCGCAGAGUACGACCUGACUGUCUUCCUGUUGGUGCAAUAGAAACAAUCACAGCACUGUCUGAAGGGCACGCAAGAUUGUCGAUGAAAAGUGAAGUAUGCUAUGAAGAUGUUUUGCCUGUUCUAAGACUCUAUGAGGAAUCGCUGUAUGCAAUUUUUGGGAACUCUUUUGUAUCUCCUCCACCAAUUGCAAGGCAAAGUGGACUUACUUCAAUGAAAUCUUUAAUUAUGCAGACAAAGACCGAGAUGGAACAUUUUUCAGCCUGGAUAAUUAACUACAUCAAAUCUGUAAUUGGAGUACAUCCCUUUCAGUAUUGCAAUGCUGAAGAAUAAUACAGCUUACCAAAUUUGUAAUUUAUUGUCUUGUCACAAACUACUAUCAGUUACAUGGUAGACAGGCACAAUUUCUUACUGAAUUAACAAAUGGUUCAAAUAUGUUCUAUUCUGCCAAAUCAUGCCUCAGCUGUCAGUUUUUAAAGAAAGGCAGUAAUUUCGGUCACAAGAAUGUUACUGCUAUCACUUAAAUUAGUAUCAUAUGUGAAAUGAUAUAUUUUGUAAGCUUCAAGCACUAAUGGGAAUCAGGGGCUAGAAAUUUGUUCAAGUAACCAAAUCAAACAAACACUUUUUACACAUACCUGUUAGGACAAAUUUCCAGAAAAGUGAGUGUGGUUAUUAUUUUGAUAUCAAAAGACGCAACAGAUCUUUUUAAAAUAUCAUUUGAGGUUAUCUUCCACUUCAAAAUUUAUCUACAAAAAUAUUUUUAAUGUACAACAAUACUAAAUAAAUCUGUACAUCAGUGUGACUAAGCAACAACAGGAUCCACACAUCAAAUAAGUGUGAAAGUUAAAUAUUAUUGUAAUACCUAUAAUGUCUGCAGUGAAUAAAAUUUGUCACUUGGGUUCAGCAUCCAUUUUAGUCUAUAGGCUCACAUCUGUAUUCUUAAGAAUGCUAACAGUAAGUUUUAGGAACAGUUUUAAUAUUGAGCACAGAGAAUAUGUUAUAUAUUAUAUUGUCAUCAUGCAGAAUCAGUUGGAAAAAUAGCACAUACGUUGGUUCCCAAAGAAAUAUUAAACACAAAGCAAACAUAACAGGUAACUGCUAAUGUGUUUUCAGCUUUAUUACAGAUGACUGUUAAGCAACAAGCAAUUGGGAUGGGCAAUUGAGAGUAAUAAGUAUGUUAGAAUUUUUAUUUUAUUUCCUUGUAAAAUAUUUGGUUGUAUACCACUUUUUUAAACAUCUAGGUACAGAUUACAAUACAUGAAACUUCUAAAUAAAUUGAGCAGAAAAAAAUGAAAUAUUUUAAUAAACAGUUUUUAAAUCUCCUCCUGUCAGUUUACAUGAGAACACAGAAAAAGAUGACUAGAUCUGAUGAGACCAUGAAGUACCCUUGUAUAAGAAACUAAUGUUAAUUAGUUUCAUGAACUGAUACAUUGGUAUAGUAUUCAGAAAACAAAAUGUACUAUUAUUUUAUUAUUGCUAAGAUUGAGAUUCAAAUAUUAAAUAAAUGACACCUGGAAACAAUGCAGUUACAGGUGUGGAGGAAGUUCUCUCUCAGCACUGUGCUAUAAAAUAAACAAACUUCCACUUCGGCAGAUUUCUUUGUAAUUAUGUAAUACUCUUUGGAACUUUAACACUAUGUACGCAAUAAAAAUGAGGGAUACAGGAAACCAUUUAUACUUUCAGAUAACAUCAUUUUGCGUAGAAUGUGAUAAUAGAUAUACAAUAUUUCUGUUUGUUCUCACGUAAUUUGUGCAGGAUUCAGUUUCUGAAUUGUGCCUCAUUCUAAAACUAAUGAAAUCACCUAAUUUUGAACUAAAACAAA